Salmonella enterica subsp. enterica serovar Typhimurium is the source of this 279-nucleotide small RNA. It matches the Rfam family "isrG Hfq binding RNA". NCBI's taxonomy places the organism in Bacteria, Pseudomonadati, Pseudomonadota, Gammaproteobacteria, Enterobacterales, Enterobacteriaceae. The record is from Rfam.
GUUUUGCGGCAUCUUCUGCUCUGGUGGCUGCUGCUCCGGCAGCAGUACUGCUUUGCGCCGCCAGUGAUGCGCUGGUAUCAGAUGCGGCGGCGUGAUUGGAUGCCUCCGAUGCUGAUGACGAGGCGGCUGUUGCGCUGGCCGCUGCUGUACUUGCUGACGUUGCAGCGUUUGUCUCAGAUAUUUUUGCUGCGGCUGCCGAUGCGGCUGCCGCCUUUUCCGACGCUGCCGCCGCAGUGGCUGACGCACCUGCAUCACCGGCACUGGAAGCCGCCUGCGUUU